UAGCGAUACGUUUCACUGGGGUUGUGAAAAGGGCCAACCUUGUUGGCGUAUAGAGGAACAGGGUCACCCUCCUUGUAUCGGUGGUCGGAGGCGUCCGAUCUGACGUGAGUUACAGAAGGGGCAACUAGAACGGCAAGGAGGAAGAGGAGGAGAGUGUUAAAGGGAUUGUCCAUGGUUGUUGGUUUAGCUUCUCUCCUCUUCGUUCUUAUGGAAGUAACAGCACAGAGGAUCUAAUAAGAGAAGAGCAAGGGCUUUAUUUACCAUUACUUGAAAAUCACUCAAGAUCGUUCGGCUUUAGCUUUCACGCUCUACUUAUUUCCGAUCCCCAGACAAGAUCGG
This 339-nucleotide unclassified non-coding RNA is filed under the name Hevea brasiliensis (rubber tree). The record is from RNAcentral. Lineage: Eukaryota; Viridiplantae; Streptophyta; Magnoliopsida; Malpighiales; Euphorbiaceae.